AGUCGAACGAUGAUCUCCAGCUUGCUGGGGGGAUUAGUGGCGAACGGGUGAGUAACACGUGAGUAACCUGCCCUUGACUCUGGGAUAAGCCUGGGAAACUGGGUCUAAUACCGGAUACGACCGUCCCGCGCAUGCGGUGGUGGUGGAAAGCUUUUGCGGUUUUGGAUGGACUCGCGGCCUAUCAGCUUGUUGGUGGGGUAAUGGCCUACCAAGGCGACGACGGGUAGCCGGCCUGAGAGGGUGACCGGCCACACUGGGACUGAGACACGGCCCAGACUCCUACGGGAGGCAGCAGUGGGGAAUAUUGCACAAUGGGCGAAAGCCUGAUGCAGCGACGCCGCGUGAGGGAUGACGGCCUUCGGGUUGUAAACCUCUUUCAGUAGGGAAGAAGCGAAAGUGACGGUACCUGCAGAAGAAGCGCCGGCUAACUACGUGCCAGCAGCCGCGGUAAUACGUAGGGCGCAAGCGUUAUCCGGAAUUAUUGGGCGUAAAGAGCUCGUAGGCGGUUUGUCGCGUCUGCUGUGAAAGACCGGGGCUCAACUCCGGUUCUGCAGUGGGUACGGGCAGACUAGAGUGAUGUAGGGGAGACUGGAAUUCCUGGUGUAGCGGUGAAAUGCGCAGAUAUCAGGAGGAACACCGAUGGCGAAGGCAGGUCUCUGGGCAUUAACUGACGCUGAGGAGCGAAAGCAUGGGGAGCGAACAGGAUUAGAUACCCUGGUAGUCCAUGCCGUAAACGUUGGGCACUAGGUGUGGGGGACAUUCCACGUUUUCCGCGCCGUAGCUAACGCAUUAAGUGCCCCGCCUGGGGAGUACGGCCGCAA
Molecule: ribosomal RNA, 821 nt
Filed under: Arthrobacter sp. POB2-4_Pa
Lineage: Bacteria; Bacillati; Actinomycetota; Actinomycetes; Micrococcales; Micrococcaceae
Description: bacterial SSU rRNA
Rfam family: Bacterial small subunit ribosomal RNA
Source: RNAcentral